UUAUUGGGCGUAAGCGAGCGCAGGCGGUCUUUUAAGUCUAAUGUGAAAGCCUUCGGCUCAACCGAAGAAGUGCAUUGGAAACUGGGAGACUUGAGUGCAGAAGAGGACAGUGGAACUCCAUGUGUAGCGGUGAAAUGCGUAGAUAUAUGGAAGAACACCAGUGGCGAAGGCGGCUGUCUGGUCUGCAACUGACGCUGAGGCUCGAAAGCAUGGGUAGCGAACAGGAUUAGAUACCCUGGUAGUCCAUGCCGUAAACGAUGAUUACUAAGUGUUGGAGGGUUUCCGCCCUUCAGUGCUGCAGCUAACGCAUUAAGUAAUCCGCCUGGGGAGUACGACCGCAAGGUUGAAACUCAAAAGAAUUGACGGGGGCCCGCACAAGCGGUGGAGCAUGUGGUUUAAUUCGAAGCUACGCGAAGAACCUUACCAGGUCUUGACAUCUUCUGACAGUCUAAGAGAUUAGAGGUUCCCUUCGGGGACAGAAUGACAGGUGGUGCAUGGUUGUCGUCAGCUCGUGUCGUGAGAUGUUGGGUUAAGUCCCGCAACGAGCGCAACCCUUAUUACUAGUUGCCAGCAUUAAGUUGGGCACUCUAGUGAGACUGCCGGUGACAAACCGGAGGAAGGUGGGGACGACGUCAAAUCAUCAUGCCCCUUAUGACCUGGGCUACACACGUGCUACAAUGGAUGGUACAACGAGUCGCGAGACCGCGAGGUUAAGCUAAUCUCUUAAAACCAUUCUCAGUUCGGACUGUAGGCUGCAACUCGCCUACACGAAGUCGGAAUCGCUAGUAAUCGCGGAUCAG
This 800-nucleotide ribosomal RNA is filed under the name Pediococcus pentosaceus. Its description in RNAcentral is "bacterial SSU rRNA". It matches the Rfam family "Bacterial small subunit ribosomal RNA", at positions 551 to 1352 of the family's 1533-position model. Lineage: Bacteria; Bacillati; Bacillota; Bacilli; Lactobacillales; Lactobacillaceae. The record is from RNAcentral.